AUAUGUGACGGCCAUCAGGAUGUGACAUCGAUCACCUCAUUGAUAGCAAGGUUCUAUUCAGCUGGGCUGGCUAGGUUAUGUCCCCUUCCUCUCCUACAUUCACGAAUGUCUCCUAUCCCAGAAGCUGUGAGACUGGUCAAAGCAAGUGGCCAUUUCAAUUGGAGGAGGCCUAUCCUUGGUCAAAGGCAUGUGAGUCUGUAUGCUCCCCUGUUGGAGCACUAGAACUACCAUAUUUGAGCCAUAUUGAAAGUGAGAACUAACAUAUUGAAAGUGACUCAGUAAGUUGUGGGAUGUAGUGAGAGGCUUUUUGUUCCUUCAU
This 319-nucleotide small nuclear RNA is filed under the name Cebus imitator (Panamanian white-faced capuchin). RNAcentral's name for it is "7SK RNA (ENSCCAG00000009603.1)". It matches the Rfam family "7SK RNA". From Rfam's summary of the family: 7SK was discovered as an abundant small nuclear RNA in the mid-70s but a possible function has only recently been suggested. Two independent studies have found that 7SK RNA binds the CDK9/cyclin T complex (known as elongation factor P-TEFb). Lineage: Eukaryota; Metazoa; Chordata; Mammalia; Primates; Cebidae. The record is from RNAcentral.